RNAcentral lists this long non-coding RNA (258 nucleotides) under Manihot esculenta (cassava). RNAcentral describes it as "long non-coding RNA (MESC_LNC005873)". The record is from RNAcentral. Lineage: Eukaryota; Viridiplantae; Streptophyta; Magnoliopsida; Malpighiales; Euphorbiaceae.
UUUGAACAAUGUGGCUUGCUUGAGUAUGCUUGAAGUGUUGUAGUUGGGGUAUUUGAUGUUUUGAGGCCCCUAGGAACUUGUAUGCAUGAUUUGGUUGAAGUAUAUGCUUGAUUUGUGGAUUUGGGAGGCAGGAGGUUCAUGUGAACCAAGUUUCUGCCCGUUUGGCAGAAACCAGGUUCGGCAGCCGAAGGAAGUUUCGGCCGCCGAACCCCUCUUGUGAAGGCAGCAUUCGGCUGCCGAAGGUGCCCCCGAAAAGAG